AUCUUUUAUUCAUUCAGUAGUUAAUGUAGAUUAUUGAUGCAAAAACUCCUAAUGAAAGUUGAGCUUUUAAUCUUUUGUUCAAUGCUUAUAUAGAAUAAUUGGUUGAAAAGGAGCAAUUCCCUCGAUGUCAAACUCUAUAGAUUUGGUGCUUGUACAUUGGUUAAGGAAGGUGAAACACCAAAUCUCUUAUAUGGGAAUGCUUUGAAUACUCUCCUAGCGAUGAUUGAUGGUUUGAAUCAUAGGACAAGAUAGAAUUAAUGGAAGUUCAAAUGUCCACCCUACAAGGUAGUGUGACAUCUAUUGAUGGAAGGAUGGUUUAUUUAAACUCUUAUCAGUCCACUCCACAAAACUACAAAAACUCUUCAAGUAGAUAGACCCACAAAACAUCUACUAAUAUCACCCUCAGAACCUUUCAUCAAAUGUUAUAUCCACCCUUACAAGAAGAUGCUCCAUACAUAGAAACCACUACUAAAAAAAAUAUCCCAAAGCCCAUUUGACUAUUACACCUCCAUCUUAACCAAGUUAACCAAAAAGCUCCACCAAAUCAAGAUCCACCUCACCAAAUAUCACAAAACCAAGAUCCUCCACCCCAAACUCAAAAAAACCAUAACCUAUUACAUGGUAUACCAUAUAACAAAAACUUACCAAUCCAAGUUUAGGACGUAAAGUAAAAUUCAACAAGAUGAGUACGUGUGCUAAGAUGAAAAGAUUCUACAAAAUUAAGAACAAUGUAUGGUACUAAGUGGUAAAGUUAGACAUAGAGGUAAAGAAGAAAGAUUUGGUUUGAUUCGAUAUGGUAGGGGAAGUUAUGGUAACUAACCUCAAGGUAUGGGAUAAAGUAAUACAAAAUGUCAGUAAAGGUCAAAGGCAAGGGUUAGGAGAAGAUUAUGGUGACCUCAAUAAAUGAGAAGUAGGUUACAUUUACAAUCAAAGUGGAGGUGUUCGAGGAAAUUAUCAUGGGGUCCAGGGGAAAUGGAGGGACAAAUUUGUAUAUCAAUUUUAUUAAAAAAAAUUUCCAAUGUUCAAGAGGGAUUAUGGACCUCAAGCUAAUCUAACCUAAUAUUUGACUUGUGAUAGAAUUUUCUAAGAUAUUGAUGUAAUAAAUUAAUUCUGUGAACUUUAUUUUUCUUA
Capsicum annuum is the source of this 1131-nucleotide long non-coding RNA. RefSeq lists it as uncharacterized. The transcript is spliced from 2 exons. NCBI's taxonomy places the organism in Eukaryota, Viridiplantae, Streptophyta, Magnoliopsida, Solanales, Solanaceae. The record is from RefSeq and is a predicted model, not a curated record.